RNAcentral lists this ribosomal RNA (253 nucleotides) under uncultured bacterium. RNAcentral's name for it is "partial 16S ribosomal RNA". It matches the Rfam family "Bacterial small subunit ribosomal RNA", at positions 524 to 776 of the family's 1533-position model. The record is from RNAcentral.
UACGGAGGGUGUAAACGUUGCUCGGAAUCAUUGGGCGUAAAGCGCACGUAGGUGGCCUGUUAAGUCGGGUGUGAAAUCCCUGGGCUCAACCCAGGAAGUGCACUCGAAACUGGCAGGCUUGAGUACUGAAGAGGGUCGCGGAAUUCCCGGUGUAGAGGUGAAAUUCGUAGAUAUCGGGAGGAACACCAGUGGCGAAGGCGGCGACCUGGGCAGAUACUGACACUGAGGUGCGAAAGCGUGGGGAGCAAACAGG